RNAcentral lists this non-coding RNA (23 nucleotides) under Arabidopsis thaliana (thale cress). Lineage: Eukaryota; Viridiplantae; Streptophyta; Magnoliopsida; Brassicales; Brassicaceae. The record is from RNAcentral.
AGGAGGACAUAUACUCGAUGCUC